RNAcentral lists this long non-coding RNA (662 nucleotides) under Zea mays. RNAcentral describes it as "long non-coding RNA NONZMAT000564". Lineage: Eukaryota; Viridiplantae; Streptophyta; Magnoliopsida; Poales; Poaceae. The record is from RNAcentral.
GACGCCGCCGCCUUCACGUUGCCGGCCACCGUCCUCUUACCGGCCGCCUUGCCGUUCGCGAUGCUCCCGUCGCCCUCGCCAGAGGCCCACUGGUCCGCCCAGGUUGGCGCCUCACCCGGCUUGGAACCCAUGGGAAUCGGUAAAGCUGCAGCUGCAACAACUUGUUGAAUCUACACAUGGCGUUUUGAAUUUCUGUAUAAGUAGAACAGCAGAAGGCUCCAGUUUCCUGGUAGAUCGACGGAACAGUUCAUGGUAAAAAAAAAGAUUUUUUUUUUCCGACAGAGAAUAGAGAUGUUCCUAACUCUGCCUACCCUACCAUCGUCCUAUACAACAGCUUACGGAAUCGAAAGGAAGGGACCUGGGAAUGCGAUUAGGCAAUGCCGAGACUGACAGUUUCAAGUUACCUCUUUUUUUUUCUCCUUCCUUCAGUAGAUAGACAAUUUGGUUGGCUGGCCUUACUCCGGUCUGCUCCAGGGAUAAGCAGACGCCAGACAGGGGUGAGCGAGAGCGAGGGCUUCCCUUCCUGCCUGCUUGUGUGGUGCUGGCUUUGUCUUAUAUAUAUAUGCUACGGGGGAGUAGAAAUUUGGCUUUUUUUUGCUUCACCAACAGGAGAUACUAGCAAAGAUGGAUGCCUCGAUUGCAUUGUUUGAUUUACCUUCCAC